GAGUUUGAUCUUGGCUCAGAUUGAACGCUGGCGGCAUGCUUUACACAUGCAAGUCGAACGGCAGCACGGGGUUUACCCUGGUGGCGAGUGGCGAACGGGUGAGGAAUACAUCGGAACGUGUCUAUAAGUGGGGGAUAACGCAUCGAAAGGUGUGCUAAUACCGCAUAAUCUCUCAGGAGAAAAGCAGGGGAUCGCAAGACCUUGCGCUUUAGGAGCGGCCGAUGCCUGAUUAGCUUGUUGGUAAGUAAAGCUUACCAAGGCUUCGAUCAGUAGCUGGUCUGAGAGGACGACCAGCCACACUGGGACUGAGACACGGCCCAGACUCCUACGGGAGGCAGCAGUGGGAAUUUUGGACAAUGGGGAAACCCUGAUCCAGCCAUGCCGCGUGAGUGAAGAAGGCCUUC
This 404-nucleotide ribosomal RNA is filed under the name uncultured marine bacterium. Its description in RNAcentral is "bacterial SSU rRNA". It matches the Rfam family "Bacterial small subunit ribosomal RNA", at positions 9 to 419 of the family's 1533-position model. The record is from RNAcentral.